UAGGGAAUCUUCCACAAUGGACGCAAGUCUGAUGGAGCAACGCCGCGUGAGUGAAGAAGGUUUUCGGAUCGUAAAGCCCUGUUGUUGGUGAAGAAGGAUAGAGGUAGUAACUGGCCUUUAUUUGACGGUAAUCAACCAGCAAGUCACGGCUAACUUCGUGCCAGCAGCCGCGGUAAUACGUAGGUGGCAAGCGUUGUCCGGAUUUAUUGGGCGUAAAGCGAGAGAAGGCGGAAGAAUAAGUCUGAUGUGAAAGCCCUCGGCUUAACCGAGGAAGUGCAUCGGAAAAUGUUUUUGUUGCGUGCAGAAGAGGAGAGUGGAAUUCCAUGUGUAGCGGUGGAAUGCGUAGAUAUAUGGAAGAACACCAGUGGCGAAGGCGACUCUCUGGUCUGCAACUGACGCUGAGGCUCGAAAGAAUGGGUAGCGAACAGG
RNAcentral lists this ribosomal RNA (429 nucleotides) under bacterium. RNAcentral's name for it is "partial 16S ribosomal RNA". It matches the Rfam family "Bacterial small subunit ribosomal RNA", at positions 355 to 776 of the family's 1533-position model. The record is from RNAcentral.